Molecule: ribosomal RNA, 641 nt
Filed under: Microbacterium sp. I13A-01670
Lineage: Bacteria; Bacillati; Actinomycetota; Actinomycetes; Micrococcales; Microbacteriaceae
Description: bacterial SSU rRNA
Rfam family: Bacterial small subunit ribosomal RNA
Source: RNAcentral
AGUGGCGAACGGGUGAGUAACACGUGAGCAACCUGCCCCUGACUCUGGGAUAAGCGCUGGAAACGGCGUCUAAUACUGGAUAUGUGACGUGACCGCAUGGUCUGCGUUUGGAAAGAUUUUUCGGUUGGGGAUGGGCUCGCGGCCUAUCAGCUUGUUGGUGAGGUAAUGGCUCACCAAGGCGUCGACGGGUAGCCGGCCUGAGAGGGUGACCGGCCACACUGGGACUGAGACACGGCCCAGACUCCUACGGGAGGCAGCAGUGGGGAAUAUUGCACAAUGGGCGCAAGCCUGAUGCAGCAACGCCGCGUGAGGGAUGACGGCCUUCGGGUUGUAAACCUCUUUUAGCAGGGAAGAAGCGAAAGUGACGGUACCUGCAGAAAAAGCGCCGGCUAACUACGUGCCAGCAGCCGCGGUAAUACGUAGGGCGCAAGCGUUAUCCGGAAUUAUUGGGCGUAAAGAGCUCGUAGGCGGUUUGUCGCGUCUGCUGUGAAAUCCCGAGGCUCAACCUCGGGCCUGCAGUGGGUACGGGCAGACUAGAGUGCGGUAGGGGAGAUUGGAAUUCCUGGUGUAGCGGUGGAAUGCGCAGAUAUCAGGAGGAACACCGAUGGCGAAGGCAGAUCUCUGGGCCGUAACUGACGCUG